This 238-nucleotide unclassified non-coding RNA is filed under the name Hevea brasiliensis (rubber tree). The record is from RNAcentral. Lineage: Eukaryota; Viridiplantae; Streptophyta; Magnoliopsida; Malpighiales; Euphorbiaceae.
AUUUCCAGGAUGCAUGUCUGCAUGGAUGAAAUUAUCUAUCUGCAAAAUGAUUGGCUUAACAAUAAUCAAUUAUUCAUCCAAAAAACACAGCACCUAUAAAUUUACAGUUGGCCACUUUCUGUGUGUUAUAUAAAUGUCCAGUCCUUUGCUUAUUUGGUGGGAAAGCAGGGGUGAAUUGCAAGAAGGAGAAAAAUGCAUCCUCUAUAAAGUUUUAAACAACAGGAAAAGAAAAAAAAAA